RNAcentral lists this ribosomal RNA (253 nucleotides) under uncultured bacterium. RNAcentral's name for it is "partial 16S ribosomal RNA". It matches the Rfam family "Bacterial small subunit ribosomal RNA", at positions 524 to 776 of the family's 1533-position model. The record is from RNAcentral.
UACAGAGGUCCCGAGCGUUGUUCGGAUUCACUGGGCGUAAAGGGUGCGUAGGUGGCUGGGAAAGUUUGAUGUGAAAGCUCAGGGCUUAACCCUGAAAUGGCAUUGAAUACUGCCUGGCUGGAGGUUUGGAGGGGGGACUGGAAUUCUUGGUGUAGCAGUGAAAUGCGUAGAUAUUAAGAGGAACACCAGUGGCGAAGGCGAGUCCCUGGACAACACCUGACACUGAGGCACGAAAGCCGGGGGAGCAAACAGG